GCCCAUCUAGCUCAGUUGGUAGAGCACGUCCUUGGUAAGGACGAGGUCGGCGGUUCAAUCCCGCUGGUGGGCU
This 73-nucleotide transfer RNA is filed under the name Candidatus Melainabacteria bacterium. Its description in RNAcentral is "tRNA-Thr". It matches the Rfam family "tRNA". Rfam says of the family: Transfer RNA (tRNA) molecules are approximately 80 nucleotides in length. Their secondary structure includes four short double-helical elements and three loops (D, anti-codon, and T loops). Lineage: Bacteria; Bacillati; Candidatus Melainabacteria. The record is from RNAcentral.